Molecule: RNA transcript, 3510 nt
Organism: Centrocercus urophasianus (Greater sage-grouse)
Lineage: Eukaryota; Metazoa; Chordata; Aves; Galliformes; Phasianidae
Gene name: butyrophilin subfamily 1 member A1-like
Exons: 13
Source: RefSeq, a predicted model, not a curated record
CUAUCAGCACAAACACUUUUAUUUUGAGCCGUCGGCUCCGUUCCCCAGUGUGGGCCAGGUCUGUGCCUUUGUGUGCUCCGUGUCCCGCUGCUGUGUGAGCCCCCAGCAACCCCCAAGAAGCAACAGCAUUUCCAGAGCAAAUCCUCCCGUCAGCAAUGCCCAAAUACCUCUGUUACUUUCGUUUCUGAAUGGAGGAGGUGCAGAAGGAAAUGGGCGUCCCGGCUGUGAGAUCUCAUUCAGCGGUUGCAUUUCCUGUUCCCUGCCCUCCACCCUCGCUGGCAGAGAAAGGACUGCACGGGUGGGUGGGCUUUGUGAAGACGAUGUUUUCUGGCUGCUGCCUCCACUGCCCUAUGCUGGCUGCUGUCAUUUACAGUGCCGUUUUCCAUGUUCACGAGCUGCAGUCAGCCCCGUUCAGCGUGCAGGGCCCCCCUGACCCUGUGGCUGUGGCUGUGGGGCAGGACGUGGUGCUGCCAUGCCGCCUGUCCCCGGAGCAGAGCACACAGGACAUGGAGGUGACGUGGUUUAGGGACCAAUUCACGCCCUUCGUGCAUCGCUACAGGGAUGGCCAGGACCAGUACGGGGACCAGGAGCUUCGAUACCAAGGGCGCACGGAGAUGCGCCUCGCCAAUGGCAGCGUGAGCUUGAGAAUCCUCCGCGUCCAGCUGUCUGACAGAGGGAGCUACACCUGCUUUGUUCGCACUGAUCUGGGAUACGACGAGGCUGCGGUGGAGCUGCAGGUCACAGCCAGUGGCUCAGCCCCGCUCAUCGCACUGCAGCGCUACCAGGACGGCGGCAUCCGCGUGGCGUGCCGCUCUGCAGGCUGGUUCCCGCAGCCCCAGCUGCUGUGGCGGGACCCCCGUGGGCAGUGGCUGCCCUCCCUCUCUGAAAACGUCACCCAGGACGGCGGUGGCCUCUACACAGCAGAGAGUGUCCUCGUCCUCGCCAGUGGUGACAGCCAGGAGCUGGCCUGCGUGGUCAGGGCUGCGCUGCACAACCAGGAGAAGGAGUCUGCGUUCUCUGUAGCAGAUCCUUUUUUCCAAAACGCCAGACCGUGGAAGAUCGCCCUGAGCCUGGUACUGGUUGCAGUGGUUGCUCUCUCCAUCGUUGCUGUUUAUCUGCUGAAAAUGAAAGGAAAGCAUGAGAAAAAAAUAGCAGCACAAGCCGCAGAGCUGCGGGACCGUGACUCCAAAAUUGAGAAACAAGCUGAGGAACUUGUGUGGAGAAGAUAUGCAGCGCCGAUUGAAGAUGCGAAGGUGGUUCUGGACGCGGGCACUGCCCACUGCGACCUCAUCCUGGCUGAUGAUGGCAGGAGUGUGAAGCGCACAGACCGACGCCAGGACGUCCCCAGCCGCCCCGAGCGCUUCGAUCCCUGGCGCUGCGUGCUGGGCUGCGAGGGCUUCACGGCAGGGAGGCACUGCUGGGAGGUGGAGGUGGUGCUGGAUGGAGGGGGCUGGACCGUGGGCGUCUGUCGAGAAGACGUGAGGAGGAAAGGGGAGAUUGAGUUCGGCCCAGAGGAAGGCAUCUGGGCCGUGGGGCAGUGGGCAGGGCAGUUCCAGGCGCUCACAUCUCCGCAGCGCACGCUCCUUCCUGAUGUUCGCACUCCCACGUGGGUCCGGAUCGCUCUGGAUUAUGAAUUGGGCCGGGUGGCGUUCUUCAGCCUGGAUGAGGAGAUCCCCAUCUUCACAUUUCCACCGGCGUCAUUCCAUGGGAUAAAAGUCCACCCCUGGCUCUGGUUGGGUCCUGGUACACAGCUCAAAAUGUGGCCCUGAUGAAGAGGAGGAGGAAAGUGAAGGCGCUGCUGGGAUUGAUCCCUGCUGCUAAACAACCAGCCUUUAUCAGUUGGGAUGAAUUUGCCAUCUCCACCUCCAAAGAAAUGAAUGAGCAUACACUUGUAUGCAACACAAAUAAAGUCUGUUCACGCUCAGCCCAGGAGCACUGAGCCUCACUGCAGAGAAGUCCAAAAGGAACAGCUCAGAGAUGCAGCCUGAGCUUGCAGCAAGGUUCUCCAGCAGCUUGAGAUCCUGCAAGUGGAAAGUGGAGAAGCCACCUGAGGAGCACAUCAUGAUUGCAAGUAAGACAUCCAGCUAAGAGUAGCUUCAGACAGGAGUAACACAGGGCAGGUAUGGUGGUGGGAGGGCAAGCACUAAUGAAGAAUGCAGUACUGCAAAAUAGCAUGCAGGGGAAUGCUUCACUGCUACUAUGAGUCAUUAUUUCUUAAUUAGUAAAAACUAAUUCAAAGAGAGAGCAGUGACAGUGGUGCAACGCAUUCCCUUUUAUAAAAUGUGGUCCGUUGCAAUUAGGUAAACAUGUUAGUAAGUAAGAUCCGUAUUCAGAUGGGUUUUCAGCAGUCUCACCGUGACAAAAGGCUGCACAAAACAAAAAGCAAACCCUGCCAGAGCUACUGGGUGCUACCGAGAAACACAGCGCCUCCCUGCUACAACUUGACUAACAGCGCAUUCGUGUGUAUGCACACACACAUCGCAUACCCAUGUGCAUUGGUAAAACUCGCCUUUAGAUGCUUCAGGCAAAUCAGGAGGGGAGAAUGAGGCAGAGCUGAGGAGGGUGCGCAGACCACAGCAGCCAGCAGAGGGGAAUCGUGGUACUGGAGCCGGCACCGAACUUCCCAUGCUGAGGGAGCAGGAGCACUGCAGUGCAGGAGAGGAAAUCAUGUGCAGUCUUAUUCCUGGGGACUGUAAGAGACGGUAGGGGGAACAUCUGAUCUCUCCCUUCCUACCCCAUGCAUUCUGUUGGAAACCACUGCUGCAAAGGCAAAAAGCAGCCCCCAGGUCCUGCCUCUGCUGCUGCCUCCAACUCCCUCACUGCAAGCUGAACAGUAAUGCUGCAAUUUGGUUCCUUGGAUGAUCAAUAUUGCUAAAUCUGGAGCCGGGGGGACUCACAGGCGGGCAGCAUCAGUCAGACAAAAAUCAAGAUUCAUUUCAGAUAUAUAAGAAUAUUUGGGGACAGUUCUGAGAAUCAAAACACUUGGACUGUGAAUUAUAAAUAGAUUUGAGGAAGAAGUCUUGCUUAUAAACACUUUAGGUUGAAGAUGUUUGCUUGUUUUCAGAGACAAUAAAUGUAGGACUACCUAAGCUGGGGGUGAGAGUUUGAGAAAGGAAUUGCAGUUAGCAAAUUGAGGGAGGUCAUUCCCCACUCUGCUCCAUUCUUAUGAGGUUCCACCUGUGCUCCGCUCAAAGGCCCCAGCAUAGAAAAGAUGUGGAUCUCUUGGGGAGAGCCGAGAGGAGGUCAUGAAGGUGCUCAGAGGGCUGGAACACCACUCCUAUGGAGGAGAGCUAAGCUUGUUCAGCCGGGAGGAGAGAAGCUCUGGGGAGAGCUCAUGGCUGCAAACCAUUCUGUGAUUACAUUCCAUGAUUCUGUGGCACCGAGGACAGGGUCUGCCUGAGCACCGGUUUGAUGGCAGGAGGUGGUAAGACAAACAAAGUGCCUUUGUAUCACUUGGGGGUUUUGCUGAUGCUUUUUCUCAUGGCCUUUAUUAAACUCUCACUAUCUCAA